This 437-nucleotide RNase P RNA is filed under the name Bacteroidales bacterium. RNAcentral describes it as "RNase P RNA component class A". It matches the Rfam family "Bacterial RNase P class A". Rfam says of the family: Ribonuclease P (RNase P) is a ubiquitous endoribonuclease, found in archaea, bacteria and eukarya as well as chloroplasts and mitochondria. Its best characterised activity is the generation of mature 5'-ends of tRNAs by cleaving the 5'-leader elements of precursor-tRNAs. Lineage: Bacteria; Pseudomonadati; Bacteroidota; Bacteroidia; Bacteroidales. The record is from RNAcentral.
CCGGCGGGCUGUCCUAUCGCUCAAGAAAUUGGGAGGAAAGUCCGGGCAGGAAAGGGCAGUGCACUGUGGAAAGCACAGAUAGGCGAAGAGUUUAUGCAAGGGUAACAGAAAACUACCGCCGCAGGAGCCUGAUCUACUGGAUCAGGCGGGCACAAUCCAGAUGGCCAGUGCUGUAUUCUGGCAACAGAAAACAGCCGGUCAGAUGGAGCACACUGCGGUAAGGGUGAAAAUGUGGGGUAAGAGCCCACGGAUUAUGAUGGCGACAUUAUAGUGGUAUCCUACUGCAUCCUGCAAGGCCAUGUAUACCGGCAAUCAAGGGUUGCCCGUCCGUUGCCGGGGGGUAGGCUGCGUCAGAUAAAUGAUAGGAGCUUCUUAGGGUAUCCCUCCCGGGAUGCCAGUCUGAGGUACAGGACCCGGCUUAUAGGCCCGCCCAUAAA